GGAGUUGACCAGACAGUCGCCGCUACGCCGUCGUCCCCACAAGGGGAAACAGGGGGGAGGAAAGUCCGGGCUCCAUAGGGCAGGGUGCCAGGUAACGCCUGGGGGGUGCAAACCCACGACAAGUGCAACAGAGAGAAAACCGCCAAUGGCCCACACAAGCGGGAACAGGUAAGGGUGAAAGGGUGCGGUAAGAGCGCACCGCGCGGCUGGUAACAGUUCGCGGCAUGGUAAACUCCACCCGGAGCAAGGCCAAAUAGGGGUUCACAUGGUACGGCCCGUACUGAACCCGGGUAGGCUGCUUGAGCCAGCGCGCGAGCGCUGGUCUAGAUGAAUGACUGUCCACGACAGAACCCGGCUUAACGGUCAACUCCACUC
This 375-nucleotide RNase P RNA is filed under the name Sodalis-like endosymbiont of Proechinophthirus fluctus. Its description in RNAcentral is "Bacterial RNase P class A". It matches the Rfam family "Bacterial RNase P class A". Rfam says of the family: Ribonuclease P (RNase P) is a ubiquitous endoribonuclease, found in archaea, bacteria and eukarya as well as chloroplasts and mitochondria. Its best characterised activity is the generation of mature 5'-ends of tRNAs by cleaving the 5'-leader elements of precursor-tRNAs. The record is from Rfam by way of RNAcentral. Lineage: Bacteria; Pseudomonadati; Pseudomonadota; Gammaproteobacteria; Enterobacterales; Bruguierivoracaceae.